AGCUGGAACUACAGGCGCCCGCCAUGAUGCCCGGCUCAUUUUCUGUGUUUUCAGUAGAGACGGGGUUUCACUGUGUUAGCCAGGAAAGUCUUGAUCUCCUGACCUCGUGAUCCUGACCUCGGCCUCCCAAAGUGCUGGGAUUACAGGCGCGAGCCACCGCGCCCGACAGCAGUUAUGAAGUUCUAAAAGCAAGUCUUAAUCAGGAAGUGUCCUUGAUCACCAACGGCUCGCCCAGGCAUGCUGGCUCUCUUCCACUUCCACCUUCCACCAUGGGAUGACGCAGUAAGAAGGCCAUCAGUAGAUGCCAGUCCCUCAACCUUGAACUUUCCAGACGCAGAACUUUUAAACAUUUCAUUCCAUCAUCGUGUUCCUGGUUUCUAUGAGAACUCCACUGUCAUUCUUAUUCUUGUUCCUCUAAAUGUGAGGUAUUUUUUUCUCCUUGGGCUUCUUUCAAAAUUUUUCUCAUUGACUCUGGUUCGCUUAUGACAUGCCUAGGUGUAGUCCAUUUUGAGUAUUAUGUAAUGAGACACCAGAUCUUAUUUCAACCUUCUGUUUUGGCUGGAUUUCCUCUGAAACUGCUCUGGCAGCAAAGGAGGAAGGGUUACUCCCAGCUAGGGUUAUAAUUCCAGGUCCCUCACCUGGCCGCUGGGGAAGAGGCUCCGCAUUACUGCGUGACAGAGAUGCAAGUUCUGAAUCACCUCUAGGCCUCCACUGAGACGCUCCAUCUGGGAUGACUGGAAUUUU
RNAcentral lists this long non-coding RNA (744 nucleotides) under Homo sapiens (human). Its description in RNAcentral is "non-protein coding lnc-NETO1-1:16". Lineage: Eukaryota; Metazoa; Chordata; Mammalia; Primates; Hominidae. The record is from RNAcentral.